UACGGAGGAUGCAAGCGUUAUCCGGAAUGUUUGGGCGUAAAGCGUCCGCAGGUGGCAAUGUAAGUCUGCUGUCAAAGCGUCUGGCUCAACCAGAUAAAGGCAGUGGAAACUACAUAGCUAGAGUAAGGUAGGGGUAGAGGGAAUUCCUGGUGUAGCGGUGAAAUGCGUAGAGAUCAGGAAGAACACCGGUGGCGAAAGCGCUCUGCUGGACCUUAACUGACACUGAGGGACGAAAGCUAGGGGAGCGAAUGGG
This 253-nucleotide ribosomal RNA is filed under the name uncultured bacterium. RNAcentral's name for it is "partial 16S ribosomal RNA". It matches the Rfam family "Bacterial small subunit ribosomal RNA", at positions 524 to 776 of the family's 1533-position model. The record is from RNAcentral.